Molecule: long non-coding RNA, 378 nt
Filed under: Monodelphis domestica (gray short-tailed opossum)
Lineage: Eukaryota; Metazoa; Chordata; Mammalia; Didelphimorphia; Didelphidae
Description: lncRNA (ENSMODG00000031999.2)
Source: RNAcentral
CAGCUGAAAAGCAUGGUGCCACCAAUCCUUGCACUUCAAGUUCCCGUUUGCCUCAUUGGGAGUCCAGCCAACUUGCUGUCUGUUGUUUAGUGUGGGCGAGGAGAUGGGAGGAAAGAACUGGGUGAUGGGAGGGUAGGAGGACAAAGAGACACUGUGGGGAGUGGAAAUUUCAUUGAAGGGGGCGAAGGAGGGGAGAGUGAGAAACAAGACUCUUGAUGGGGGAAAAAUGCAGCUUCAGUUCCUUUCUUAUGCUUCCUUGUGAUAUGGAAAUGAUCCUGAGUUCUCUAAGGCUUUGCUGACUGAACCCAACCUCUGGUAAGUUCCACCUAGCUGCAAAAGCUUUGAGUAUGGUUUUGGUAACAUGAUUUUGUUUCCUGA